UGAUGAUAGUGAGGGAAAUUUCUGAGCAUACUUUUAAAUCUCUCCCAAGCUUGGUAGAGGUUCUCUUCUUCUUUCUGUUUGAAACUCAGGAUCUUGCUUCUCAAAUA
Non-coding RNA from Capsicum annuum, 107 nucleotides. Lineage: Eukaryota; Viridiplantae; Streptophyta; Magnoliopsida; Solanales; Solanaceae. The record is from Rfam.